GAUCAGUUUUUUCUCACGUGUGCGCAGACCCUGUGGUGUAUGAACCUAAAAACCCUAUUUCCUGUUUGGGGGAGUCGCCUAGGAGCUCAGGAAUUACUUAUAUGUGCACUGCCAGGCACUGAGGGGCCUGAAACUGAAGUGGGAGGCAGAACAAAACACUCUAUGCAGAGGGACAAAGACACAUGUCACUCUCCAGCCUGCUGUGGGUGUCCGUGGUCUUCAUCUGCUCUGGAUCCAGUGUGGCCCAGAAAGUGACUCAAGUCCAGCCACUCACAUCCAGAGCAGUAGGGGAAACAGUCACCCUGGACUGCUCCUAUGAGACAACCUGGAGCUCAUACUAUCUUUAUUGGUACAAGCAACUUCCCAGUGGAGAGAUGCUUUUUCUUAUUAGACAGUAUUCUUCAGAUUCCAAUGCAAAGAGUGGUCGCUAUUCUGUCAACUUCCAGAAAGCAGCUAAGUCCAUCAGCCUCACCAUUUCAACCAUACAGAUGGAAGAUUCGGCUAAGUAUUUCUGUGCUAUCAGAGAACCCACAGUAUUUGAACCGAAGGUAAAUGCUGAACAAAAACUCAGGAGUUCUCUGAGAGCCACGCCCUGCUGCAGGAGCUCAGCUGAGACUCACACCUGCAGAUCCCAGCAGGAAGGAAACACAGCAGUUGCUUCACUGUGGUCUUUAUCAAAAGAUUAA
This is a non-coding RNA of Cavia porcellus (domestic guinea pig), 686 nucleotides long. The record is from the annotation of a RefSeq genome assembly. NCBI's taxonomy places the organism in Eukaryota, Metazoa, Chordata, Mammalia, Rodentia, Caviidae.